This 475-nucleotide long non-coding RNA is filed under the name Cicer arietinum (chickpea). Its description in RNAcentral is "long non-coding RNA (CARI_LNC001125)". Lineage: Eukaryota; Viridiplantae; Streptophyta; Magnoliopsida; Fabales; Fabaceae. The record is from RNAcentral.
GAAUAUGUACUUAGUGAUAAGUAAGGAUCAUUGAAGAAUAACAGAAAGUAAAAAAAAUGACUAAUAUACAUAAAUUUAUUAUAGCAGUCUUCGUUGCGGCUCUUCUAUGCUCAACAGGUAUGUAGGAAAUUUACAUAAUAGAGUUUGAAUCUUCGUUAUAAUAUUUCUCCUAUGCAUAUUAAUUAUUAAUUAAACUAAUAUUACUCUUCUGAAUAGGUACGGCCAAAAUUCAACUUCGUACAGUGAAAUUUUUGGUAGUUGUGACCUAUAUCAUGAUUGUAAUUCAUACUGCAUUGGUCAAGGCUAUGUGUUGGGGGAUUGUAUUCCAAACGAAAAUAAAACUUGUUGUUUUUACAAAUUUUAAUAUUUGAAGCUAUGGAUUUUCUUCUUGUUUGAAGAAAACAUAAUGUUUUAUAAAUAUAUGUAAGUUUCAUUAUAAGGAAAUAAAACAUGAAAUGUUAUCAUAAAGUUUGAG